Long non-coding RNA from Hibiscus syriacus, 675 nucleotides. RefSeq lists it as uncharacterized. The record is from RefSeq and is a predicted model, not a curated record. Lineage: Eukaryota; Viridiplantae; Streptophyta; Magnoliopsida; Malvales; Malvaceae. The transcript has 2 exons.
CAAGAAGAACCGGAAAUGUUUUACAAAUCUCUCCUUUUUAGCUGACCGACUUCCCCUCGUUACAAUGGAUCCCCUGUUCGAAAAUAGUUAUGGAUGAACCUCCCCUGCCUGUGCUCUGGUUGUUCACUGUCGUUCCUCUAUUCUUGAUUGCUAACCGAGAACCCCCCCUCGUUUUUGUUUCUCUCCUCCUUUUCGAGGGCUCUCCUCAUCAACGUGAUCCCCCCUCCUUUCUUUUGUGUUCCACUCGUGUUAUAUUCCCUCCUUGCCAGUUAUGGGCUCGAGCCAAGUGAACGGCGGUAGUGCUUCAGUGAAUAGCCGACAAACGCAGGAACAUGGGGUCUUCACGAGGGGCAUGGACAGCAUGGGUGGAUAGAUGAGUCAUCGGGACUGAUUUUAUUCAACUAGUUUUGUAUCCCACGUGCUGCCUUUCUCUCUAAUAAUUUUAAUGUGCUGUUUAUGCUUUGUGAGUGUGCCCCAACAUAAACUUUCCUCCACAUGUGCUUGUUGCCGUGUAUGAGCUGGAAAUGUCUCAAAUGUGCUCCCACGUGUUGCAUUAUCCUUGUAAGCUGUUAAUGUCCAAUUUCAGCCUGUUUAGACACUCCUUAGUGCUCCUAUAUGUGUUGUUCCCACGUUUUCAAUGUGCAUGUGCAAAGAACAACAAAUGUUUUAUCGAAA